CCAAGAUCACACCACUACGCUCCAGCUGGGGGAGACAGUGAAACUCCAUCUCAAAAAGAAAAAAGAAUGGAGAGUCAAGGGACUUAUAUGGUAGUAAGAUUUCUACAUUCCACUUGAGGGUAGCCAACAAGAUGUAAGCAGAAGUCUUAUGGUGUGGCUUCUGGGAAACCUCUCCAAAGAUCUUCAGAGAAUGAUCUUUGCAGGAAAUCUCUGUUACCUGAAGAUGAAAAGGAAUGUGAACCAACUCUGAUCCCAAUUCAGACCUUCGCCAACUGACAGUUCAGGUGAAGGCCCUCUGGGGUGACCAGAAAGCAAAGAAAAGAUGAGUAUAUUAUUGCUGAACAGUUCUCUUUCAGAAAAAGAGAAUAAAAUAAAGAAAGAGACCUAAGCCUUGAAAUACAGUAAGUGGGAGAAAACCUGGUAUUAAAAGUAGGAUUAAAAAUCUUACAGAUUUAGACAACGAGACUGAUCUCAAACCUGGUGAAAGCAGUAUUUAUUCUGAGUUGCAGAGAAGAUUUAGAAUUUUGGAAAGUACUUCGACACCAUUCCUAAGUUCAAGCAAUAUUUUAAUAUCCUCUCUCUCUCUC
Molecule: long non-coding RNA, 587 nt
Filed under: Homo sapiens (human)
Lineage: Eukaryota; Metazoa; Chordata; Mammalia; Primates; Hominidae
Description: HSALNT0381782
Source: RNAcentral